Molecule: ribosomal RNA, 347 nt
Filed under: uncultured bacterium
Lineage: Bacteria
Description: bacterial SSU rRNA
Rfam family: Bacterial small subunit ribosomal RNA
Source: RNAcentral
AGAGUUUGAUCAUGGCUCAGGAUGAACGCUAGCUACAGGCUUUACACAUGCAAGUCGAACGGCAGCACAGGGAGCUUGCUCCCGGGUGGCGAGUGGCGCACGGGUGAGUAAUACAUCGGAACGUGUCCUGUUGUGGGGGAUAACUGCUCGAAAGGGUGGCUAAUACCGCAUGAGACCUGAGGGUGAAAGCGGGGGAUCGCAAGACCUCGCGCAAUUGGAGCGGCCGAUGCCCGAUUAGCUAGUUGGUGAGGUAAAGGCUCACCAAGGCGACGAUCGGUAGCUGGUCUGAGAGGACGACCAGCCACACUGGGACUGAGACACGGCCCAGACUCCUACGGGAGGCAGCA